Molecule: long non-coding RNA, 784 nt
Organism: Pteropus alecto (black flying fox)
Lineage: Eukaryota; Metazoa; Chordata; Mammalia; Chiroptera; Pteropodidae
Exons: 2
Source: RefSeq, a predicted model, not a curated record
UUAAUUUUGAAGGAUGGCUGUCGUGCUGCUCUGUCUCGGAGCCUUGGGGACCGAGGUGAAAUCCACGUCUUCCAGGUGCUCACAGUUCACGCCGGGGCCAUAGCGAGCAGCACCGAACCAUUCGGUUCUCGAGGUUUGGUUUAAGAGAGCCAGCUCUUUAGACGCGCAUUAUUUACGCCACCGAACUUCUUCCUGGGACCCGGGCUUCCCUGCCCUGACGUACGUGGCCUCUGCCCACGUGGUCCUCAGCAGGUAGCGGGUGGCCCUCGGACGACUCCAGCCCUGGCCCUGUCAGUGCAGCGUGAGGAGCUGGAUUUUUCGCAGCCGCGUUCUAACGGGCCGGGGGAACCCGCGUUUCUCUGGCAUCAUCGUUUUCGUGUAAUCGCUUCUCUGAUGCUAACACAUUUGCAGUGAUAAUUGUGCUUUGGGGGCUCGUUAAAAAACAUUAAAAAGUAAAUUUCUAAGGUAAUUAAUUUUAUGAUAUGUUUACUACAGUGUGGAUAUUAUAAUGUGAAAUUUAACAUAAAUCCACUUCCUCGUCUAUAAAGAAAUAUAUCUAAAUGUAUCGCUAGUAGAUUUUGGAUGAAUAACUCUAUUACACUGCUUAGCGGAACGUAAAGUUCACUGUUGGCGGUUUGGUCUGCUCUGUUUUGUUUUAAGUUCCUAUACUGUAACUGAAUAUUGUUGUUUUUCUCCCAAAUGCAUUUACCUUUUGUGACCGAAGUCUAGGAGAGUAAGUAGUUCAGUAUUUUAAUAAAUUGGAGAAUUUUGCAUGCUUUCCUCA